Molecule: non-coding RNA, 760 nt
Organism: Schizosaccharomyces pombe (fission yeast)
Lineage: Eukaryota; Fungi; Ascomycota; Schizosaccharomycetes; Schizosaccharomycetales; Schizosaccharomycetaceae
Source: the annotation of a GenBank genome assembly
CAUAAGCCUACAUUUCAAAAGUCAGCUUCGACUAUGCUAAGCAAAGAAUGUCUUACCUUUUGGAUUCUGGGUAUCAAGGCAUCUUUGUAGUUUUAAGUUAUUUCCGAAUUGGUACAAAAAUAGCUUUGAUGCGGUUGCAAUUGCUAAUCUUAGAUAUGUUAGUUGUUAAUAAGACGACAAGCAAUAUAAAAGAGAAGAACGUACAAUUUCCCAUCGAAACAUAUUCCUUUUAUUUCAAAAUUCAAUUCAAGCUCUUUUACCGGCCUCUCUUUCACAUCAUCCCAAACAAUAAGCUGUAAACAAGCUUAGCUAAAAGAAAACAAAGCAUUACUCAAACUUACCUUAUUUGGUGCGUAUUUUGGAUUUCCACCGCCGCCUACUAAGAGUAAAACAUUGCUUCUAAAAAGCAUUUUGACUAUUGAAAGACCACCGUCAUUGAACUCUAGACAAUUGUAAAUAUUCAAAUAAGAGAUCUGCAUAUUGCAAAACUUACGUCUUUGAGCGCGCAGCUUUAGAGGGUUAAUUUGAAAGAUUUUAUAGCCUGUAUCUAGCGCAACAGACAUGCAUGAGGCAUCUUGAUUUAAUGAUACAGUAUUAAUAGUUGACAUUCCAAUUUGUGGGGUUUAUGCAUUAUGCAAAACUACUUUAGAUUGUUCUCGGUGAAUUCGGUAAAUUACACACCGUCAAUUAUACAAUUCAUCACUUUCUUUAGAAAACACAACCUUUUUACUAGGCAUAAUAAUGUAUUAGUUCAACAACA